Long non-coding RNA from Gossypium arboreum, 465 nucleotides. RefSeq lists it as uncharacterized. The record is from RefSeq and is a predicted model, not a curated record. NCBI's taxonomy places the organism in Eukaryota, Viridiplantae, Streptophyta, Magnoliopsida, Malvales, Malvaceae. The transcript has 3 exons.
UUUUAUUAAAAGAAAAAGGGUGAAAAGAACAAAGUUUUGUCCAUCUUUGUUCAUCAUAGCUGAAAGUUAGAGAAGAGAAAGGAGAGGAGAAAGCUCUUGAGUAUUCGGUCAUUAGGAGGAGGAAAAUUGAAGGCUGUUCGUGUGUGGAUCUCGUCAACAUAUCGUCGCAAACAGGAAAUCCCCAACCAUAGUGGGCUUGGAGCUGUGAGGGAAUUCGGAGUGGCCACCCGUUCUGAAAGUUUGAUUUUCUUCUGGUGAACUGGACAUCCUUUUAUUUACGUUUGAAGUUUUUGGGCUUUUAAAUGUAAUAAGGCCACUUAGUUAUUUUUGAUGGUUUUAAUAUGUAUUACUAAGAUAGGUAAUACUUAUUUUAACUGUUGAAAUUGGAUAGCUUUAGGGCGCGUUUUCAAAAACAACAAUUGAUUUCAAAAUAACACGACAACAAGCAAAGCUUCCGCAAUAAAA